UACGGAGGGUCCAAGCGUUAUCCGGAAUCACUGGGUUUAAAGGGUGCGUAGGUGGAUUAAUAAGUCAGAGGUGAAAUCCCAUAGCUCAACUAUGGAACUGCCUUUGAAACUGUUAGUCUUGAAUAUAUUGGAAGUGGGCGGAAUGAGUCAUGUAGCGGUGAAAUGCGUAGAUAUGACUCAGAACACCGAUUGCGAAGGCAGCUCACUAUGAUAUUAUUGACACUGAGGCACGAAAGCGUGGGUAGCGAACAGG
Molecule: ribosomal RNA, 253 nt
Filed under: uncultured bacterium
Lineage: Bacteria
Description: partial 16S ribosomal RNA
Rfam family: Bacterial small subunit ribosomal RNA
Source: RNAcentral